UGCAUANAAUAGCGGAGGAAAAGAAACUAACAAGGAUUCCCNUAGUAACGGCGAGUGAACCGGGAAGAGCUCAAAUUUGAAAUCUGGCGUGCUCAGUGCGUCCGAGUUGUAAUCUAUAGAGUCGUUUUCCGUGCCGGACUGUGUCCAAGUCCCUUGGAACAGGGUAUCAAAGAGGGUGAUAAUCCCGUACUUGACACAAUGACCGGUGCUCUGUGAUACGUCUUCUACGAGUCGAGUUGUUUGGGAAUGCAGCUCAAAAUGGGUGGUGAGUUCCAUCUAAAGCUAAAUAUUGGCGAGAGACCGAUAGCGAACAAGUACCGUGAGGGAAAGAUGAAAAGCACUUUGGAAAGAGAGUUAAACAGUACGUGAAAUUGUUAAAAGGGAAACGAUUGAAGUCAGUCGUGACUGAGAGGCUCAGCCGGUUCUGCCGGUGUAUUCCCCUCAGUCGGGUCAACAUCAGUUUUGUUCGGUGGAUAAGGGCGGUUGGAAGGUGGCACCCUCGGGUGUGUUAUAGCCAACUGUCGCAUACAUCGGAUGAGACUGAGGAAUGCAGCUCGCCUUUAUGGCCGGGGUUCGCCCACGUUCGAGCUUAGGAUGUUGACAU
This 604-nucleotide ribosomal RNA is filed under the name Papiliotrema laurentii. Its description in RNAcentral is "eukaryotic LSU rRNA". It matches the Rfam family "Eukaryotic large subunit ribosomal RNA", at positions 37 to 632 of the family's 3401-position model. The record is from RNAcentral. Lineage: Eukaryota; Fungi; Basidiomycota; Tremellomycetes; Tremellales; Rhynchogastremaceae.